UUUGCUCUUAGACAUUCGGUCCUGUACUAUAUAGGAGCAAUGCCCGUCGAAGACCCUUGCAUCGUUUUUUUUCUUUGGUUUUUGUUAGUAUCAAGUCUAAGUGUCAUUAGGUUAUGAUUUUAAAAUACAUGCUAUGGAAAGCAACUAUUCUUGACAACUUGACUCUUAAUCUCUGACAAUUUGAGUGUGUAAUUCUUUUAAUCAAAGCUACCAAGAUAUUCGAGAAAGUUCCCGUUUGUCUAAAGGAAGAAACCUGAUUGGCUGAGAAACAGGAUCGUUUUUACCUCCGGACCAAGUAACUUGAAGACCGCAGGAUACAUAUCCGCAUGAAGACAUUCAUGACGAUUGGGAAAUCAAUUAAAGUUUCGGAUCUGAGAAGAACCCUCAUUAAAAAGUAAGCAAGUUGUGCUGGCUGUUUUCUCAAAUCCUUCCAAGAACUAAAAUCUGAAAAUGGAACCUGCCGCUGAACAAAAUGGCUUCCAGCAAAUGCGCCUACAUGACAAGAUGAUAGAUCUAAUCUCCAAUACACAGGAAAAUUGCAUUCAUCAAACCGUUCACAAUCACACAACGAUUAGGCCUGAAACUUUAGAUGAAAUUCGACUCGAUUGCGUUACGGAAAAUCGAACGUCAGACCCUAAGCAGGCCACGUGUCUUGUCCAGACCCCAUUUCAGUCUCAAGAUGAACGGCCACCGCACGUUUGUGUCGAAAUCGAGCCUACGCAACCCCAUCGAACCCAGGAUAAAAAUGAACAAAGCAAGUCAUUCUUCUCCGUUUACUGCAACUAUUCACGGUUUUGGAAACGAUGCUCCGAUAUUUUUAGCUUCAAGAAAGACGAAGUUUCGCCCAUUGACCUGAACGAAUCUUUUAAUGAAGACGAAGAUGACGAGUCGCUGGACUUGGACGAGUCCAGCGAAUCGGACUAUGACAAGUGGGAGCGUAUCUUUGAUACUUCCAAUUCCAGACUAGAACUCUUGACUAGUGAAACUGACGGAAGCUGGUCGAGUGGACCAUGGUAUCCGUAAGUAUUUACUUAUGCCUCUUCAAAUACAAUGAUUAAUUUAAA
Hyalella azteca is the source of this 1064-nucleotide long non-coding RNA. RefSeq lists it as uncharacterized. NCBI's taxonomy places the organism in Eukaryota, Metazoa, Arthropoda, Malacostraca, Amphipoda, Hyalellidae. The record is from RefSeq and is a predicted model, not a curated record. The transcript is spliced from 2 exons.